Long non-coding RNA from Astatotilapia calliptera (eastern happy), 857 nucleotides. The record is from Ensembl. Lineage: Eukaryota; Metazoa; Chordata; Actinopteri; Cichliformes; Cichlidae.
CGGAGUUGCUACAACCCCAAGUUAAGCACGCGCACGAGGAUACAUAAAGCUCCGAUCAGUGGAGCACAGAUUAAGCGAGUCACCAUGGAGACGGAGGGAAAGAAGGCGCGGUCGACGUAUUUCACAGCGCUCGAGGCGGAAAUUCUGAUGGCAGCAUAUGCCGACAGCAUGCACAUCAUGCAGAAAAAAAGUAACACAGCCGCAGCUGCAAAGGAAAGGGAGCAUGCAUGGCAAAACAUAGCCGACAGAGUCAAUGCGUGCAACCCAACAGGCCCCAAACGUUCCUGGCAGCAAGUAAAAAUGAAGUAUAAAAACAUAGUCCAAACAGCCAACAGAAAAAAAGCGGAGGCCCGAAAAACAGGUGGGGGUCCUCCACCACCACCACUCACAGAGGCUGAGCAGUUGGCCCUCAGCCAAAACAGUGGGCGCCCUGUGGCUGAAGGCAUCUCUGCGGGGACAUCCUCUGUGGCAACAACCCCACAAGACACAAGUGCCUACAUAAGGGUUGACGGUGAUGGUGUACUGCAUCUGGUGCAGCCCCCUGUUGAGCCAGACCGACAUGCAGUUGCACAUGAUGACGAAACAGUGACAGCUGCUACAGAGGAGGCCGCAACAGAGCCACACUAUGAGAGUGAUGCUGGAAAUGAAGAGGAAGAGGGUCCAGCCACUCCUACAACGAACCUUUCCACACUCCCUGUGAAGCAGCUGUAUAAGACAUAUCUGGCCAGGAAGAUAAGAAAGUGCGACAUGGAAAUGGUGCACCUCCAGCUGCAGAUCCAAAAGUCGAAGCUGGAGAUUGUACUGCUGGAACAACAGUUAAGGGACAUACAGGGUGACCAAUAAAGGCAGUUGACCAC